RNAcentral lists this ribosomal RNA (253 nucleotides) under uncultured bacterium. Its description in RNAcentral is "partial 16S ribosomal RNA". It matches the Rfam family "Bacterial small subunit ribosomal RNA", at positions 524 to 776 of the family's 1533-position model. The record is from RNAcentral.
UACGUAGGGUGCGAGCGUUGUCCGGAAUUAUUGGGCGUAAAGGGCUCGUAGGCGGUUUGUCGCGUCGGGAGUGAAAUCCACUGGCUUAACUGGUGGCUUGCUUUCGAUACGGGCAGACUGGAGGUAUGCAGGGGAGGACGGAAUUCCUGGUGUAGCGGUGAAAUGCGCAGAUAUCAGGAGGAACACCGGUGGCGAAGGCGGUUCUCUGGACAGGCACUGACGCUGAGACGCGAAAGCGUGGGUAGCAAACAGG